Molecule: long non-coding RNA, 970 nt
Filed under: Carica papaya (papaya)
Lineage: Eukaryota; Viridiplantae; Streptophyta; Magnoliopsida; Brassicales; Caricaceae
Description: long non-coding RNA (CPAP_LNC005366)
Source: RNAcentral
AAUAAAUCCUAAACUUACCAUACACACACCUCACUCAUGCGAGCUAGGGAAACCCGUAUGUGCAAGCGCGACCUUUGCACUUCACGACUCGAAAGCCCACCUUGGUCUCUCCUCUGCUGGGCCCACGGCUGAUGCUAGGUCAGCUUGCUUUGUUGGGCGUCUAACUCAAUUUCUUCUCCCUCGAGUGUGGGUCUAUUGGAUCGAGCCACGAGGUGAGGGCCAGCAUUUAAGUCUUUUUGAUGGGCCUCGAUCAGUCCACCUAUAGAGGUAUGCAUCAUAGGUCGCAUGUUCUAUCCGAACGUGCGGCUUACUAGGUUGUGGGUUGGGCCUAGCAGCCUAGGUGACUCGGGUCACCCGUCCACGGGAACCUCUCCUUUAUGCAUUAUCUCGGACAUGCCACCUUCAUAUUCUAGGAUUAAUCCAAAACCCACAACUCAUCAUUAUUGGUGCUUCUUUGGGCAGGUUAUCUUGGCAGCCCAUAAAGCUUCUCGGUCUUGAUGUCACUGAUGAUCCAUCUUACCUUAUCUAAGCUUGCACGAACUAGAUCCUUGGGCUUCAUUGGAUUGGGUCUUGUUGUCAAAUCUUGAGUUUGUUUCGUUGGUCCAGGCUUUUCCCGAGCUUUAUUUUUGAAUUGGCGUGAAAUUUGAUAGUUACGUUUUAGGUAUUUGGGAUUCCCUCUUAGGGUCACAUCAUCCUCCCUUCUUUAAAAAAAUUUGUCCUCGAAUCCAUCUCACUGCUAUGUAGUGAUCCUAGAUACAAGAAAGAAGCUAAAAAGUAGUGGAAGGUGUUAAAAUGGUACCGGGGUCUUGUGGAACACAUGUGCAUGUGGAAUGGCGCUAAGGUCUUGGUGCAAAAGUUCAUGUUGUCCUACUGCACUCAUCUCUACUACUACACUCACUCUUUUGGUCAAGUUGAGCGUUGGGGUUGGGAUCCCCUUAGUCAAGUCCCUGCAAGUUAUGAAAAAUUACCU